This 253-nucleotide ribosomal RNA is filed under the name uncultured bacterium. RNAcentral's name for it is "partial 16S ribosomal RNA". It matches the Rfam family "Bacterial small subunit ribosomal RNA", at positions 524 to 776 of the family's 1533-position model. The record is from RNAcentral.
UACGUAGGGGGCUAGCGUUGUCCGGAUUUAUUGGGCGUAAAGAGCGUGUAGGCGGCCAUGUAGGUCCGGUGUGAAAACUCGAGGCUUAACCUCGAGAUGUCAUCGGAAACCAUUUGGCUAGAGUCCGGAAGAGGAGAGUGGAAUUCCUGGUGUAGCGGUGAAAUGCGCAGAUAUCAGGAAGAACACCGGUGGCGAAGGCGGCUCUCUGGGCCUUACCUGACGCUGAGGAGCGAAAGCGUGGGUAGCGAACAGG